RNAcentral lists this long non-coding RNA (246 nucleotides) under Nicotiana benthamiana. RNAcentral's name for it is "long non-coding RNA (NBEN_LNC039871)". Lineage: Eukaryota; Viridiplantae; Streptophyta; Magnoliopsida; Solanales; Solanaceae. The record is from RNAcentral.
GCAGUGUCUCGGACUUGCACGGUUGAUGUCGAGGCAGCUUCUUUCGCCAUGAAAGCACUCCUACACAUUGCCCAGUCGGCCUUGGUUUCUUCUACGGCAGCUUUGGACGCCUCUAGGCUUGACUUGGCUUCAUCAACGUCCUGCCUCAACUCUGACAAGGCUUGAUACACCUUGGCUUGAAACAAGCUGUUCUCGUUGGCUAUCUCUGCCCCUGCAGCAUAGAUCCUCUCUUGGAAAGCGUCCAAC